CGGGGUGGAGUAAUGUCUGGGAAACGGCCUGAUGGAGGGGGGUAACUACUGGAAACGGUAGCUAAUACCGCAUAACGUCUUCGGACCAAAGUGGGGGGACUUCGGGCCUCACGCCAUCGGAUGUGCCCAGAUGGGAUUAGCUAGUAGGUGGGGUAAUGGCUCACCUAGGCGACGAUCCCUAGCUGGUCUGAGAGGAUGACCAGCCACACUGGAACUGAGACACGGUCCAG
Molecule: ribosomal RNA, 230 nt
Filed under: uncultured bacterium
Lineage: Bacteria
Description: partial 16S ribosomal RNA
Rfam family: Bacterial small subunit ribosomal RNA
Source: RNAcentral